GAGGGGAGCUGCGCGUGGAGCUCUUCCCGGUGGACGACGACGCGUCCACGAGCGACUACGCCGCCCACCACAAGUACUUGCUUUCCUCCGUCCAGCCUAUGAUUCCCCCGCUCGCGAGCGCGGUAUUCCCAUGAUGAGCCCGUCGUCAUCGCGCAUCGUCUCCAUCCUCGUCCCUCGACGCCCUUUCUUCCAGACCUCUCUUCCGCGUUGCUGUGAAGGAACGGGCGGGUGGCGUACCAGGCCACCAGAGCGAUCUCCAACUUGGUGGAUUCUUUCUUAGCUUCAAGGAACCUGCGAAGAAACAAUUCCCAAGCAGAUUUUAAAUUGGUAUUGCAUAUCAUCGAUAAAUCCACUCAAGAUCACUAGCACACAUGCUGAUGUGCACCCAAUUUCACUGAUGACUCUGCGGUGCAUCUAUAUCCUAUACAGGCUAUAUUCAGAAUACUCUUUAGUUGGACGGACAGCGGGAGGUGGAUGGCUUUGGUGCAACAUAAAAUGGCUAUGCAGCAGAGGAUUGGAAGAUGCAGUACAAUGACCGAUACUGGAGCUCCCGUCCCCAUCAAAGGCCUCAGGCACCCCUGCGGACUAGCGGACUAUCACAAUGCGGCAGAGAAAAUUAUAGUGACGGUCAGAACAUAAGCUACGGCAUGAGCUAGCGUGCAAGACACUGACAUAAUUGUUUUGGUUAGGUGUGGUCUUUCCCAGGUACAUAAGCUCUGGGAGUAAUCAGCGACCGGGAUCUCAAACUUUAAUUAGUGGCUUUAAAAGCCCUCUUUUCGAAAGCUGGAAUUUUGUUGUACUUAGUGGAAAUUAUGGUGUUUGCUACGGGAUUCUCAUGUUUUAGACAACCAAUUCAGUUAGUACUGAAUCAUUGGGUGAACAAUACAACAACAUAUGCUUGCGCAAA
Molecule: non-coding RNA, 907 nt
Organism: Lolium perenne
Lineage: Eukaryota; Viridiplantae; Streptophyta; Magnoliopsida; Poales; Poaceae
Source: RefSeq, a predicted model, not a curated record